UGGGGAAUAUUGCGCAAUGGCCGCAAGGCUGACGCAGCGUCGCCGCGUGUGGGAUGACGCCUUUCGGGGUGUAAACCACUGUUGCCCGGGACGAACAUCCCUUUUCGAGGGGACUGACGGUACCGGGUGAGGAAGCACCGGCUAACUCCGUGCCAGCAGCCGCGGUAAUACGGAGGGUGCGAGCGUUGUCCGGAAUCAUUGGGCGUAAAGGGCGCGUAGGUGGCCCGGUAAGCGUGCGGUGAAAGCUCGGGGCUCAACCCCGAGUCGGCCGUGCGAACUGCUGGGCUUGAGCACUGUAGAGGCAGGCGGAAUUCCGGGUGUAGCGGUGGAAUGCGUAGAGAUCCGGAAGAACACCGGUGGCGAAGGCGGCCUGCUGGGCAGUAGCUGACACUGAGGCGCGACAGCGUGGGGAGCAAACAGGAUUAGAUACCCUGGUAGUCCACGCCGUAAACGAUGGGCACUAGGCGCUUGGGGGAGCGACCCCCCGAGGGCCGACGCUAACGCAUUAAGUGCCCCGCCUGGGGAGUACGACCGCAAGGUUGA
This 543-nucleotide ribosomal RNA is filed under the name uncultured Gemmatimonas sp. Its description in RNAcentral is "bacterial SSU rRNA". It matches the Rfam family "Bacterial small subunit ribosomal RNA", at positions 355 to 897 of the family's 1533-position model. The record is from RNAcentral. Lineage: Bacteria; Pseudomonadati; Gemmatimonadota; Gemmatimonadia; Gemmatimonadales; Gemmatimonadaceae.